CAAUAGCGUAUAUUAAAGUUGUUGCAGUUAAAAAGCUCGUAGUUGGAUUUCUGGUGGGAGCGAUCGGUCUGGCGCUUAGCGCGAGUACUUGCAUCGUCUCCGGCCAUCCUUGGGGAGAGUCUGUCUGGCAUUAGGUUGUCGGGCAGAGGAUCCUCAUCGUUUACUGUGAAAAAAUUAGAGUGUUCAAAGCAGGCUUAUGCCGUUGAAUAUAUUAGCAUGGAAUAAUAAGAUAGGACUUUGGUACUAUUUUGUUGGUUUGCGCACCAAAGUAAUGAUGAAUAGGGACAGUUGGGGGUAUUCGUAUUCCGUUGUCAGAGGUGAAAUUCUUGGAUUUACGGAAGACGAACUACUGCGAAAGCAUUUACCAAGGAUGUUUUCAUUAA
This 383-nucleotide ribosomal RNA is filed under the name uncultured eukaryote. RNAcentral describes it as "partial 18S ribosomal RNA". It matches the Rfam family "Eukaryotic small subunit ribosomal RNA", at positions 592 to 976 of the family's 1831-position model. The record is from RNAcentral.